RNAcentral lists this ribosomal RNA (483 nucleotides) under uncultured Fusibacter sp. RNAcentral's name for it is "bacterial SSU rRNA". It matches the Rfam family "Bacterial small subunit ribosomal RNA", at positions 903 to 1382 of the family's 1533-position model. The record is from RNAcentral. Lineage: Bacteria; Bacillati; Bacillota; Clostridia; Eubacteriales; Fusibacteraceae.
AAAGGAAUUGACGGGACCCGCACAAGCAGCGGAGCAUGUGGUUUAAUUCGAAGCAACGCGAAGAACCUUACCAGAUCUUGACAUCCAAUUGACCAUCUUUUAAUCGAGAUUUUGCCUUCGGGUACAAUUGAGACAGGUGGUGCAUGGUUGUCGUCAGCUCGUGUCGUGAGAUGUUGGGUUAAGUCCCGCAACGAGCGCAACCCUUGUGUUUUAGUUGCAAACAGGUCAAGCUGUGCACUCUAGACAGACUGCCGUGGACAACACGGAGGAAGGUGGGGAUGACGUCAAAUCAUCAUGCCCCUUAUGAUCUGGGCUACACACGUGCUACAAUGGCCGGUACAACGGGCAGCGAAGGAGCGAUCCGGAGCGAAUCCUAAAAAGCCGGUCCCAGUUCGGAUUGCAGGCUGAAACUCGCCUACAUGAAGUUGGAGUUGCUAGUAAUCGCGCAUCAGCCAUGGCGCGGUGAAUACGUUCCCGGGCCUU